GCCCUCGUAGCUCAACGGAUAGAGUAGCGCACUCCUAACGCGCAGAUCGAGGUCCGAUUCCUCGCGGGGGCA
This 72-nucleotide transfer RNA is filed under the name bacterium. Its description in RNAcentral is "tRNA-Arg". It matches the Rfam family "tRNA". From Rfam's summary of the family: Transfer RNA (tRNA) molecules are approximately 80 nucleotides in length. The record is from RNAcentral.